This 772-nucleotide ribosomal RNA is filed under the name uncultured bacterium. RNAcentral describes it as "bacterial SSU rRNA". It matches the Rfam family "Bacterial small subunit ribosomal RNA", at positions 8 to 796 of the family's 1533-position model. The record is from RNAcentral.
AGAGUUUGAUCCUGGCUCAGGACGAACGCGGGCGGCGUGCUUAACACAUGCAAGUCGAACGGAAAGGCCCGUUCGGGGUACUCGAGUGGCGAACGGGUGAGUGACACGUGGGUGAUCUGCCCUGCACUUUGGGAUAAGCCUGGGAAACUGGGUCUAAUACCGGAUAUACCUCAUGGACUGCAUGGUUUGUGGGGAAAGCUUGUGCGGUGUGGGAUGGGCCCGCGGCCUAUCAGCUUGUUGGUGGGGUGAUGGCCUACCAAGGCGACGACGGGUAGCCGGCCUGAGAGGGUGACCGGCCACACUGGGACUGAGAUACGGCCCAGACUCCUACGGGAGGCAGCAGUGGGGAAUAUUGCACAAUGGGCGCAAGCCUGAUGCAGCGACGCCGCGUGAGGGAUGACGGCCUUCGGGUUGUAAACCUCUUUCAGCAGGGACGAAGCGCAAGUGACGGUACCUGUAGAAGAAGGACCGGCCAACUACGUGCCAGCAGCCGCGGUAAUACGUAGGGUCCGAGCGUUGUCCGGAAUUACUGGGCGUAAAGAGCUCGUAGGUGGUUUGUCGCGUUGUUCGUGAAAACUCACAGCUCAACUGUGGGCGUGCGGGCGAUACGGGCAGACUUGAGUACUGCAGGGGAGACUGGAAUUCCUGGUGUAGCGGUGGAAUGCGCAGAUAUCAGGAGGAACACCGGUGGCGGAGGCGGGUCUCUGGGCAGUAACUGACGCUGAGGAGCGAAAGCGUGGGGAGCGAACAGGAUUAGAUACCCUGGUAGUCC